AACGAACGCUGGCGGCAGGCCUAACACAUGCAAGUCGAACGCCCCGCUAGGGGCGUGGCAGACGGGUGAGUAACACGUGGGAACCUUCCCUAUAGUACGGAAUAGCCCAGGGAAACUUGGAGUAAUACCGUAUACGCCCGAAAGGGGAAAGAAUUUCGCUAUAGGAUGGGCCCGCGUAGGAUUAGCUAGUUGGUGAGGUAAUGGCUCACCAAGGCGACGAUCCUUAGCUGGUUUGAGAGAACGACCAGCCACACUGGGACUGAGACACGGCCCAGACUCCUACGGGAGGCAGCAGUGGGGAAUAUUGGACAAUGGGCGAAAGCCUGAUCCAGCCAUGCCGCGUGAGUGAUGAAGGCCUUAGGGUUGUAAAGCUCUUUUGGCGGGGAUGAUAAUGACGGUACCCGCAGAAUAAGUCCCGGCUAACUUCGUG
RNAcentral lists this ribosomal RNA (430 nucleotides) under uncultured bacterium. Its description in RNAcentral is "partial 16S ribosomal RNA". It matches the Rfam family "Bacterial small subunit ribosomal RNA", at positions 29 to 507 of the family's 1533-position model. The record is from RNAcentral.